AUUACAAUUAGUAAGCAAGAAUGGGGCUGGACCCCACGACAUCAUGAAAAAAAAAAGGUGGCAUUAAAAUAUGCAGAUGGGAGUGAUGAGUCAUGCACAUUAAAGUGCAUAAUGACACGUACAAAAGAAAGGAUGCUGAAUCCCUUUCUCUUUUUAAGCAUUCAAACUUAAAUCUUUCCCAUUUUGCCAUAAUAACAAACGUACCACACCAUUAUUUUCUCUCUAGCUAAUUAUUUUGUUGUUUCAAUAUGCAAGGAAGCAACAACGUGACUUCCAUUUAUAUGGAAACAACGCAGUUUUGAAUUGAUAGAGCACCAACGUGACUUGGUAUUUUACGGAAGAAAAAUGUAAUUUUUUUUUCUCAAGAACAAUAUUUGGAUUUUGCUCACUGCUUCGAUCUCGUUAUUCCGUCUUAUCGUGUUGUUGAAUCCGGGCUUUUUUCGUAGUGAAGUAAGGUGGAAGAAGAUUAUUUCUUGGAAUAUAAGACCUACGAGCUCGAGAAGUAGACGUUGGACAUUAGAUAGAGUUCAAGGUAUGUGAGGCUAGUCCUUUCUUUCUGUGGCAUGAAUUUUAUAGCUUGACUCUCUUUUAUCCAUGAGUUUCCUUAAGUUUCGGAAAAUAUGAGUCUAUGUCCAUAAUUAGCCACACAAGGUAAUGAGUAAAGUAUAGAAAUCCCAAUACUCAUGUUGUGAUGAUCCUAUGAUGUUAAUGAUGUUAUUUAUUGUUUACACUCACCUUAUAUGCUAAUUCCUUCAAGGUGAGGCAGGAUGUCAAUGAAUGUUCCAUAAUGACGUCGGAAGCCACCGACCUUACGUCACUCCGAUAUAGUUAUGGCUUUUGCUUGGGCUCUUAUGCAUGCUUUAUAUAUAUAUGUAUGUAUUUUCUCACACCGCGCCGCGCUAUAGUCGGCCGGGCAGGCACGUAGAUGUGCACACCACUAUAGUGGGCAGCUUAUACCCCGGACGCGGGAGGCUUGGACGCAGGCUAUGAUUAUCACACCGCUCCUACAUGGAUGGGCAGCUUAUACAUAUCACACCGUACCUGUAUGGACGGGCAGCUUAUAUAUGUAUACAUACAUGACAUGAUAAUCAUUAUGAGUAGACAAGGAGGUGAGCUUGAUCCAGAUUCUUAGUAGCUGUCAGCUGAUUGAGAGCACUCCAUUGUUCGGAGGUGCUUAUGAUUCUUCUUUUGGUAUAUAUGCAUAUUUUGGGCACAACGGAGGCUUGUUCCGUCUAUAUGUUUAGUAUGUCAGUAGAGGCUCGUAGAUACGCAGUGUGGGUCAGAUGGUCUCACAAGAUGUUAUUAUUAUGUAUAUAUUAUUUUGGUGGCCGAGAGGCAAAAGUGGUAUAAGUAUUUAUGUUUCUAUAUAAAAUAUAAUUUUCCUACAAUUCGUGUAUAAAAUUGGUAAAAGAGCAUUAAAUGAGUAAGAUGAGUAUUAGAGCGAGUGGUGCUCGGUGGCUAGCCCCGGGUACCCGUCACGGUCCCUAGCUGGGUCGUGACAGGGAGACUGAGUUGAUUGGCCCAGAUGUGGUCCAGCAGGCCGUGGAUAAGGUGAAACUUAUUCGAGAAAGAUUGUUGGCAGCCCAGAGCCGACAAAAAUCUUAUGCCGAUAAGCGACGUCGACCAUUAGAGUUUCAGAUUGGCGAUUGGGUGUUCCUGAAAGUGUCACCGAGGAAAGGUGUUAUGCGAUUUGGCAAGAAAGGAAAGCUCAGUCCGAGAUAUAUUGGGCCCUAUCUGAUUAUUCGCAAAAUAGGCAAGGUGGCCUACGAAUUGGAUUUGCCAGCUGACUUGGGAGCGGUACACCCGGUAUUUCAUGUUUCUAUGCUUCGUAACUGUAUUGGUGACCCUUCCAGAGUCUUUCCUGUAGAUGACAUUCAGGUCACAGAGGAGCUAUCUUAUGAGGAGCAGCCUAUAGCCAUAUUGGAUCGCCAGGUAAAAAGGUUGCAGAACAAAGAUAUGGCUUCUGUUAAAGUGCUGUGGCGGAACAAUAACCGAGAGGAAAUGACCUGGGAAGCUGAGGAGCAUAUGAAGAAGAAGUAUCCUCAUUUAUUUUCAGAGCCUACAGGUAAUCCAAUUCUCUAUUUGACUAUGUUGUUUGAUAAAUGAAUCGUUGAUCAAUGAUUGUAUUGUUGUGAUAGUUAGUAAUGAAACUCCCCCAAAUUGUUGUAUGACCGGUAAGGUUAAUCUGACAUUCGAGGACGAAUGUUCUAAAGGGGAGAAGGAUGUUAGAACCCGUAUUUUUGUACAGUGGAAUAAUUCGGAUUUAUUUAUGAUAAGCUAAGGACAAAAUUAUUUUGGAAUACAAAGUCGGGAUUCUUAACCUUCGAUUUUAUUUUGAGAUAUAAGUUGUGCAUGAAUUUAUUGGUAUGGAACAAUUAGAAAAAUUCGGGACCAAAAG
Long non-coding RNA from Lycium barbarum (goji berry), 2398 nucleotides. RefSeq lists it as uncharacterized. The record is from RefSeq and is a predicted model, not a curated record. The transcript is spliced from 3 exons. Lineage: Eukaryota; Viridiplantae; Streptophyta; Magnoliopsida; Solanales; Solanaceae.